GGAGAGGUACCCGAAGUGGCCCAACGGGGGCUCGAGGUACUACCUCAGCCGGGCUCCGGCCCGCGCAGGUUCGAAUCCUGCCCUCUCCGC
This 90-nucleotide transfer RNA is filed under the name Streptomyces abikoensis. Its description in RNAcentral is "tRNA-Thr". It matches the Rfam family "tRNA". From Rfam's summary of the family: Transfer RNA (tRNA) molecules are approximately 80 nucleotides in length. Lineage: Bacteria; Bacillati; Actinomycetota; Actinomycetes; Kitasatosporales; Streptomycetaceae. The record is from RNAcentral.